UGGGGAAUAUUGCACAAUGGGCGCAAGCCUGAUGCAGCCAUGCCGCGUGUGUGAAGAAGGCCUUCGGGUUGUAAAGCACUUUCAGCGAGGAGGAAGGGUAGUGUGUUAAUAGCACAUUGCAUUGACGUUACUCGCAGAAGAAGCACCGGCUAACUCCGUGCCAGCAGCCGCGGUAAUACGGAGGGUGCAAGCGUUAAUCGGACUUACUGGGCGUAAAGCGCACGCAGGCGGUUUGUUAAGUCAGAUGUGAAAUCCCCGCGCUUAACGUGGGAACUGCAUUUGAAACUGGCAAGCUAGAGUCUUGUAGAGGGGGGUAGAAUUCCAGGUGUAGCGGUGAAAUGCGUAGAGAUCUGGAGGAAUACCGGUGGCGAAGGCGGCCCCCUGGACAAAGACUGACGCUCAGGUGCGAAAGCGUGGGGAGCAAACA
RNAcentral lists this ribosomal RNA (427 nucleotides) under uncultured bacterium. RNAcentral's name for it is "partial 16S ribosomal RNA". It matches the Rfam family "Bacterial small subunit ribosomal RNA", at positions 355 to 774 of the family's 1533-position model. The record is from RNAcentral.